RNAcentral lists this ribosomal RNA (253 nucleotides) under uncultured bacterium. RNAcentral's name for it is "partial 16S ribosomal RNA". It matches the Rfam family "Bacterial small subunit ribosomal RNA", at positions 524 to 776 of the family's 1533-position model. The record is from RNAcentral.
UACGUAGGGUGCAAGCGUUGUCCGGAAUUAUUGGGCGUAAAGAGCUCGUAGGCGGUUUGUCGCGUCUGCUGUGAAAACUCGGGGCUUAACCCCGGGCCUGCAGUGGGUACGGGCAGACUAGAGUGCGGUAGGGGAGACUGGAAUUCCUGGUGUAGCGGUGAAAUGCGCAGAUAUCAGGAGGAACACCGGUGGCGAAGGCGGGUCUCUGGACAGUUCCUGACACUGAGGCACGAAGGCCAGGGGAGCAAACGGG